This 928-nucleotide ribosomal RNA is filed under the name Phaeoacremonium austroafricanum. Its description in RNAcentral is "eukaryotic LSU rRNA". It matches the Rfam family "Eukaryotic large subunit ribosomal RNA", at positions 1 to 961 of the family's 3401-position model. Lineage: Eukaryota; Fungi; Ascomycota; Sordariomycetes; Togniniales; Togniniaceae. The record is from RNAcentral.
GUUGACCUCGGAUCAGGUAGGAAUACCCGCUGAACUUAAGCAUAUCAAUAAGCGGAGGAAAAGAAACCAACAGGGAUUGCCCCAGUAACGGCGAGUGAAGCGGCAACAGCUCAAAUUUGAAAUCUGGCCUCGGCCCGAGUUGUAAUUUGCAGAGGAUGUUUCUGGCGCGGUGCCUUCUGAGUUCCCUGGAACGGGACGCCAUAGAGGGUGAGAGCCCCGUACGGUUGGACGCCUAGCCUGUGUGAAACUCUUUCGACGAGUCGAGUAGUUUGGGAAUGCUGCUCAAAAUGGGAGGUAUAUCUCUUCUAAAGCUAAAUAUUGGCCAGAGACCGAUAGCGCACAAGUAGAGUGAUCGAAAGAUGAAAAGCACCUUGAAAAGGGGGUUAAACAGCACGUGAAAUUGUUGAAAGGGAAGCGCCCAUGACCAGACUUGUGCCCGGCGGAUCACCCAGCGUUCUCGCUGGGGCACUCCGCCGGGUCCAGGCCAGCAUCGGUUUUCGCCGGGGGAUAAAGGCUCUGGGAACGUAGCUCCUCCGGGAGUGUUAUAGCCCUCUGCGUAAUACCCUGGCGGGGACCGAGGUACGCGCUCCGCAAGGAUGCUGGCGUAAUGGUCAUCAGCGACCCGUCUUGAAACACGGAUCAAGGAGUCGUCCAUUAGAGCGAGCGUUUGGGUGUCAAACCCGCACGCGUAAUGAAAGUGAACGUAGGUGAGAGCUUCGGCGCAUCAUCGACCGAUCCUGAUGUCCUCGGAUGGAUUUGAGUAUGAGUUUUACUGGACGGACCCGAAAGAUGGUGAACUAUGCCUGAAUAGGGUGAAGCCAGAGGAAACUCUGGUGGAGGCUCGCAGCGGUUCUGACGUGCAAAUCGAUCGUCAAAUUUGGGCAUGGGGGCGAAAGACUAAUCGAACCAUCUAGUAGCUGGUUACCGC